GACGAACGCUGGCGGCGUGCUUAACACAUGCAAGUCGAACGGAAAGGCCCUGCUUUUGUGUGGUGCUCGAGUGGCGAACGGGUGAGUAACACGUGAGUAACCUGCCCUUGACUUUGGGAUAACUUCAGGAAACUGGGGCUAAUACCGGAUCGGAGCUCCUGCUGCAUGGUGGGGGUUGGAUAGUUUCGGCGGUUGGGGAUGGACUCGCGGCUUAUCUGCUUGUUUGUGGGGUAGUGGCUUACCAAGGCUUGGCCGGGUAGCCGGCCUGAGAGGGUGACCGGGCACAUGGGGCCUGAGAUAGGGCCCAGACGCCAACGGGGGGCAGCAGGGGGGAACAUUGUGCAGUGGUGGGAAGUCUGUUGCGGCGGCGUCGGGGGCGGAAAGACGGCCUUCGGGGGGUAAACCGCUUACGCCUGUGACGAAGGGUGAGUGACGGUAACGGGAGAAGAAGCACCGGCUAACUACGUG
This 468-nucleotide ribosomal RNA is filed under the name uncultured bacterium. RNAcentral's name for it is "partial 16S ribosomal RNA". It matches the Rfam family "Bacterial small subunit ribosomal RNA", at positions 28 to 507 of the family's 1533-position model. The record is from RNAcentral.